UACGUAGGUCCUGAGCGUUGUCCGGAUUUAUUGGGCGUAAAGCGAGCGCAGGUGGUUUAUUAAGUCUGGUGUAAAAGGCAGUGGCUCAACCAUUGUAUGCAUUGGAAACUGGUAGACUUGAGUGCAGGAGAGGAGAGUGGAAUUCCAUGUGCAGCGGUGAAAUGCGUAGAUAUAUGGAGGAACACCGGUGGCGAAAGCGGCUCUCUGGCCUGUAACUGACACUGAGGCUCGAAAGCGUGGGGAGCAAACAGG
RNAcentral lists this ribosomal RNA (252 nucleotides) under uncultured bacterium. Its description in RNAcentral is "partial 16S ribosomal RNA". It matches the Rfam family "Bacterial small subunit ribosomal RNA", at positions 524 to 776 of the family's 1533-position model. The record is from RNAcentral.